UGGGGAAUCUUGCACAAUGGGGGAAACCCUGAUGCAGCGACGCCGCGUGAACGAUGAAGCCCUUCGGGGUGUAAAGUUCUUUCGGCAGGAACGAUAAUGACGGUACCUGAAGAAGAAGCUGCGGCUAACUACGUGCCAGCAGCCGCGGUAAUACGUAGGCAGCAAACGUUGUUCGGAGUUACUGGGCGUAAAGAGUACGUAGGCGGUUUGCCAAGUUUGGUGUGAAAUCUCCUGGCUUAACUGGGAGGGUGCGCCGAAUACUGGCAGACUUGAGUAUUGGAGAGGAAAGCGGAAUUCCUGGUGUAGCGGUGAAAUGCGUAGAUAUCAGGAGGAACACCGGUGGUGUAGACGGCUUUCUGGACAAUCACUGACGCUGAGGUACGAAAGCGUGGGUAGCAAACAGGAUUAGAUACCCCCGUAGUCCCUGAGCGGGCUGGCAAGGCGCAU
RNAcentral lists this ribosomal RNA (447 nucleotides) under uncultured bacterium. Its description in RNAcentral is "bacterial SSU rRNA". It matches the Rfam family "Bacterial small subunit ribosomal RNA", at positions 355 to 825 of the family's 1533-position model. The record is from RNAcentral.